GGGGAAUAUUGCGCAAUGGGGGAAACCCUGACGCAGCAACGCCGCGUGAAGGAUGAAGGUUUUCGGAUCGUAAACUUCUUUGAUGAGGGACGAAGAAUGACGGUACCUCAAAAACAAGCCACGGCUAACUACGUGCCAGCAGCCGCGGUAAUACGUAGGUGGCGAGCGUUGUCCGGAAUUACUGGGUGUAAAGGGCGUGUAGGCGGGGAUACAAGUCAGAUGUGAAAUACCGUGGCUUAACCACGGGGCUGCAUCUGAAACUGUAUUUCUUGAGUGUCGGAGAGGAAAGUGGAAUUCCCAGUGUAGCGGUGAAAUGCGUAGAUAUUGGGAGGAACACCAGUGGCGAAGGCGACUUUCUGGACGAUAACUGACGCUGAGGCGCUAAAGCGUGGGGAGCAAACA
This 402-nucleotide ribosomal RNA is filed under the name uncultured bacterium. RNAcentral describes it as "bacterial SSU rRNA". It matches the Rfam family "Bacterial small subunit ribosomal RNA", at positions 356 to 774 of the family's 1533-position model. The record is from RNAcentral.